UACGUAGGGUGCAAGCGUUGUCCGGAAUUACUGGGCGUAAAGAGCUCGUAGGUGGUUUGUCGCGUUGUUCGUGAAAACUCACAGCUCAACUGUGGGCGUGCGGGCGAUACGGGCAGACUGGAGUACUGCAGGGGAGACUGGAAUUCCUGGUGUAGCGGUGGAAUGCGCAGAUAUCAGGAGGAACACCGGUGGCGAAGGCGGGUCUCUGGGCAGUAACUGACGCUGAGGAGCGAAAGCGUGGGGAGCGAACAGG
RNAcentral lists this ribosomal RNA (253 nucleotides) under uncultured bacterium. Its description in RNAcentral is "partial 16S ribosomal RNA". It matches the Rfam family "Bacterial small subunit ribosomal RNA", at positions 524 to 776 of the family's 1533-position model. The record is from RNAcentral.